Long non-coding RNA from Brassica napus (rape), 1535 nucleotides. RefSeq lists it as uncharacterized. The transcript has 4 exons. NCBI's taxonomy places the organism in Eukaryota, Viridiplantae, Streptophyta, Magnoliopsida, Brassicales, Brassicaceae. The record is from RefSeq and is a predicted model, not a curated record.
UCGGAAACGAAAAGUCCGUGUCUCUCUGAAGUCCCCUUUCUCCUUUGCACGAAGAACCAACCCUUUCUCCUUUCUCCUUUCUCCUUUGUCUUCCUCUUCUCUGUUUACUACAUUACACGAAUCUUUAUGGCUCGGAGGAGGAGCGGAGGGAGGCGGUUUCUAGGGUUUCUUGAUGCACGAUGGGCACGAGCAGCGACCCGAUCCAAGACGGUUCCGAUGAGCAGCAGAAACGAUCUGAGAUCUACACAUACGAAGCGCCAUGGCAGAUCUACGCAAUGAACUGGAGCGUCCGCUGCGACAAAAAGUACCAUUUCGCCAUCACCAGCCUCCUCGAGCAGUACCCGAACCGAGUCGAGAUCGUCCAGCUCGACGAGUCUAACGGCGAGAUCCGCUCCGAUCCCAACCUCGCCUUCGAGCACCCUUACCCUCACACAAAGACCAUCUUCAUCCCGGAUUAGGAAUGACAGCGCCCCGAUCUCCUCGCCACCUCCAGCGACUUCCUCCGCCUAUGGCGAAUCGCCGACGAUCACUCCCGCGUCGAGCUCAAGUCGUGCCUCAACAGCACUUUCUCGGUUUGGAAUGUACAAGGUUGAGCUUUUGUGCAAGACAGUUUCGGACACCAGGAUGAGAUCCUAGCCAUUGAUGCGCUGAGGAAGGAGCGUGCACUUACUCUUGGAAGAGAUAGAACCAUGCUAUUACACAAGAUGUCUGAGACCAGUCGUACGAUUUACCGUGCACCUGCAUCGUCUCUUGAGAGCUGCUGUUUCAUCAGUGAGACUGAGUACCUGUCUGGUUCGGACAGGAAUGCACUGUUGAAAAAGAAACCAGUGUUUCUCCUUAAGAAUGCACAUUCCGUUGUAGCUGGUGUAAUCACCACUAAUGAAAAUGGUGAUCAUGAUUGUGUGGAGUAUAGCAACUCUUCCACAACGAGUUCUUGGGUGAGUUCAGCUGCUGUGUGAAGAGGUAGUGACUUUGCCGUAUCUGGAGCUGGUAAUGGUUUUGUGCAUUUGAUGGUUGUUGAAGCAAGUGCCCUUUGGAUCUUUAUUCAAGCUUCCACUGAUAAAGUUUAUUUCCUUAAUGUUUUCUAAUAUUAUGUUGAUGCAUCUGUUGUUUCUGAGAGUGGUUAAGAGAAAAGCAUUUCACUUCACCAAGUAGUAAUCUCACAGUGCUUCUUUUAUCAUGUUAGAAGACUGGAUUUGUGAACUCUAUGGCAUUUGCAAAAUCUGGUAAAUUUUUGAUUGCUGGUGUUGGACAGAGACGAGAUUUGGAAGAUGGGGAUGCAUAAAAUCUGCGCAGAAUGGUGUGGCAAUACAUCCCUUAAGGCUGUCAUAAGGAUUUAAUGAAGAGUUGGUACUUAUAUUUUUCUGAAUCUCAAGUUAUAUAAAGAAGUUUUGCUCCCUUUUUGUUUGUUUUAUUGUACCCUAUUUUUUUAUAAUACAAGAGUGAGAAGAACUUUAACUUUUUUUGAGGUCCUGAUGAAUCAAAGAUGUGAAGAACUACAUAUAAUUUAUAUAAAGGAUAACUAUUAGUAACUA